Pseudopipra pipra is the source of this 628-nucleotide long non-coding RNA. RefSeq lists it as uncharacterized. Lineage: Eukaryota; Metazoa; Chordata; Aves; Passeriformes; Pipridae. The transcript has 2 exons. The record is from RefSeq and is a predicted model, not a curated record.
GACCACACUGUGUCACACCCCAAACAGAUGCAUCUGGCAGACCAUGGAUGAUAAAAAUGUCACAGUGCUGGGUGAAACAGGUCUUGAGCUGAAGUGACGUGACUUAUCCCCUACAAACUAUGCCCACAGCCAGGGAAAGUGUGGGCUUUGCCUUGGCAUCCCCAGCUAAAGAUUCCCUCUAAUCCCUUGCUGGACUGUACCUUCUGACUGGUUUCUACAUCUCCAUUCUGAUUUCCUGGAACAGCUUGGCUGUAGCUGGUGCUCCUGAGACAGUGAUAGGAAUGUGGGAAGCUUUGCAGCAGGACAAUGCACAUCUCCCAGCUCAUGCUGCAUUUAGGGACAGCACAGCCUAAGCCAGCCAUGCUCCAGCAGUGCCCACCAUGGCAGGAAGUUAACAGGGAUGUCACUGAGCCCAGAUCCAGCAUCCAGCUGCACAGCAGGAAGAAACGCCAAGCUAUGAAGCUGAUGGCAGAGCUACAGGCUGGAACAGAGCUCUGAGGAAGCACCUGAGACCAGACAGAGUAGGAACAAGGGACAUCACAGGACCUGCCUUGGAGUGCCCUCCCUUCCUCCAAGUGUGACUGAGAGAUUAAGCUGAGAUUCACCAGAUUAUACUGGUGCAAACGUC